This is a non-coding RNA of Camelina sativa (false flax), 1546 nucleotides long. The record is from RefSeq and is a predicted model, not a curated record. Lineage: Eukaryota; Viridiplantae; Streptophyta; Magnoliopsida; Brassicales; Brassicaceae.
UAGCUCCUUUUUCUAAACUGGUAUGAAAGAUAAAUGUUUUAUUUUGAUUACUCUAUCAUAGCAUUAAAACAAUGUUAUGACAAAAUAAUCAGUAACCAACCGGGAAGAUAAAAUCACUUACUCCGCCAAAAAUUUAGUGAAAAUUUUCAGAUCUUACCCCAAAAAACCUUUAAAGUGCCAAAUCAAAACAUUAAAAAAUAAAUAAAAAGUUGGUUAGAGAGGAAAAUAAAACUUUCACGAGCUAGAUCAUCUUCUCUUCCAUAUAGCCUCGCCGUCUCUGAUCUUUUUCUUCUUCUCCACUGUUUCCCUAAACCUUCUUUGUUCUCUCACUGUGUCGUCCUCUCUCUCUCUCCCCCUUUAUGUCAUUUUUUUUGUCAAAGAGCUUCGACGGUCGUAUACACACCAUGUGUUCGAUGAAAUCACUGUGAUGGUGUUGUGAUGGGAUAUUGAAAGGGUUCUAUCUUAAACAACGAUUGUUGUUCUUCCUCGCUCUUGUUAUCAGUCGCUCUCACACAAUCGCGAUUUGCAAAAGUUGUUGGAGAUAGAGAUCUAAAAGUUUGGAUUUUUGGUUGGUUUAAUUAGUUUGGAGAUAGAAAAAGACGAGGAGGCAAUUCACGCCCUUCCCCACAUUCUCCGCUGUUUGGAGAUAGAGAAGCUUCUCUUUUCUUGUAAUCACAAGACAGGUUUUUGCAUUGAGAGAUGGGUGAUAGUGAAGGAAGUGAUCUCCAAAGUCCAAGCAUUGUGGGAAGAUUUUGAAGUGACUUUAAGUUUGAAAGGGUAGACUGUUAAGAAGAUAUGAUGGUUUGCGGGAAUCAAUGGCAGUAAUCACUGAUCAUGCCAAGCUUCUCGUCAAGUUUUGACUCUUUUGACUCUAACACAAUGUGUGUGGGAUUCUCGCUGUUCUUGGUUGCAUCGACAACACUUAAGCUAAACGUUCUCGUAUCAUCGAACUCUAUCGCGGGUUGAGGCAUAGAGGUCCUGAUUGGAGUGGAGUCCAUUGUUAUGAAUAUUGUUAUCUUGCUCAUGGGCAUUUAGCCAUCAUUGACCCAACUUCUGGAGACCAACCGCUCUAUAUCAAAGACAAGACCAUCGUUGUCACGGUCAAUGGAGAGAUAUACAACCACAAGGUUUUGCGUGAAAAGCUCAAGUCUCAUCAAUUCCACACUGGUAGCGACUGUGAAGUGAUUACACACCUUGUAAGUAUGUGUAAUUGAGAAAAGACUGAAUUGUUGCUUAUGGAUUACUAUCUGCUGUACCUUUUUGCUUAUUGCCAGUUAGUGAAAAUGUAACUGAGCAUAUUUAUUGUUGCAUUUUGGUCUGUCUUGCAGUACGAAGAACAUAAAGAAUACGUCAUUUUGGUCUGUGUAAAAUGACUUAUAACAUUAUUUUAAAAAAUUAAAAAAACCUGAUAACAAUAUGGUAGAAGACUCUAUCAUAGCAUAUUUAUACGACGCUAUUGUAUGUGUGAUAUCUACGAUAACAGUGAUCUAACAUAGCGUUUGUGAAAAAGUUAUGAAUGACCUAUUAUAGCAUUUUUCUACUGCUA